RNAcentral lists this ribosomal RNA (253 nucleotides) under uncultured bacterium. RNAcentral describes it as "partial 16S ribosomal RNA". It matches the Rfam family "Bacterial small subunit ribosomal RNA", at positions 524 to 776 of the family's 1533-position model. The record is from RNAcentral.
UACGUAGGGGGCUAGCGUUGUCCGGAAUCAUUGGGCGUAAAGCGCGUGUAGGCGGUUCGGUAAGUCCGCUGUGAAAGUCGGGGGCUCAACCCUCGGAUGCCGGUGGAUACUGUCGGACUAGAGUUCGGAAGAGGCGAGUGGAAUUCCCGGUGUAGCGGUGAAAUGCGCAGAUAUCAGGAGGAACACCCAUAGCGAAGGCAGCUUGCUGGGACGUUACUGACGCUAAGGCGCGAAAGCGUGGGGAGCGAACAGG